CCGCCCAAGGAUGGGGCCGCGACCGAUCAGGUUGUUGGUGAGGUAAUGGCUCACCAAGCCUUUUACCGGUGCGGGCCGUGAGAGCGGGAGCCCGGAGAUGGGCACUGAGACAAGGGCCCAGGUCCUACGGGGCGCAGCAGUCGCGAAAACUUUGCAAUACACGAAAGUGUGACAGGGUCAUCCCGAGUGCCGACCGCUGAGGUUGGCAUUUACCCAGUCUAGAAAGCUGGGGGAAUAAGGAGAGGGCAAGUCUGGUGUCAGCCGCCGCGGUAAUACCAGCUCUCCGAGUGGUGUGGACGUUUAUUGGGCCUAAAGCAUCCGUAGCUGGCUGAACAAGUCCCCUGUUAAACCCACCGAUUUAAUCGUUGGCGUGCGGGGGAUACUGCUCGGCUAGGGGACGAGAGAGGCAGACGGUAUUCCCGGGGUAGGGGUGAAAUCCUAUAAUCCCGAGAAGACCACCAGUGGCGAAGGCUGUCUGCUGGAACGCGCCCGACGGUGAGGGAUGAAAGCUGGGGGAGCGAACCGGAUUAGAUACCCGGGUAGUCCCAGCUGUAAACGAUGCAGACUAGGUGUUUGGACGGCCACGUUCCGUUCUAGUGCCGCAGGGAAGCUGUUAAGUCUGCCGCCUGGGGAGUACGAUCGCAAGAUUGAAACUUAA
RNAcentral lists this ribosomal RNA (658 nucleotides) under uncultured archaeon. Its description in RNAcentral is "bacterial SSU rRNA". It matches the Rfam family "Archaeal small subunit ribosomal RNA", at positions 199 to 859 of the family's 1478-position model. The record is from RNAcentral.